RNAcentral lists this ribosomal RNA (257 nucleotides) under uncultured Funneliformis. RNAcentral describes it as "partial large subunit ribosomal RNA". It matches the Rfam family "Eukaryotic large subunit ribosomal RNA", at positions 359 to 631 of the family's 3401-position model. Lineage: Eukaryota; Fungi; Glomeromycota; Glomeromycetes; Glomerales; Glomeraceae. The record is from RNAcentral.
GAAAGAUGAAAAGAACUUUGAAAAGAGAGUUAAACAGUACGUGAAAUUGUUGAAAGGGAAACGAUUGAAGUCAGUCAUACCAACGGGAAAUCAACCUUUUGAGCUUGGUUUCGUGGGUUUUGAAGAGUUUCAAAGCCUUCGGAUUCGCGAGAUUGGGAUCUCUUGGUGUACUUUUUCGUACGGUUAGUCAACAUCGGUUUUGAAUGUCAUAAAAUGACUGGAGGAAUGUAGCUUCGAUCUCGUAUUGAAGUGUUAUA